AUACGGAGGAUCCGAGCGUUAUCCGGAUUUAUUGGGUUUAAAGGGUGCGCAGGCGGGAGAUUAAGUCGGCGGUGAAAUUUUGCAGCUCAACUGUAAAAGUGCCAUCGAUACUGGUUUUCUUGAGUGUGGAUGAAGUAGGCGGAAUUUGUGGUGUAGCGGUGAAAUGCAUAGAUAUCACGAGGAACUCCGAUUGCGCAGGCAGCUUACUAGGCCAUAACUGACGCUCAGGCACGAAGGCGUGGGGAUCAAACAGGAUUAGAUACCCUGGUAGUCCACGCAGUAAACGAUGAUUACUCGCUGUUUGCGAUACACAGUAAGCGGCUUAGCGAAAGCGUUAAGUAAUCCACCUGGGGAGUACGUUCGCAAGAAUGAAACUCAAAGGAAUUGGCGGGG
RNAcentral lists this ribosomal RNA (393 nucleotides) under uncultured bacterium. RNAcentral describes it as "partial 16S ribosomal RNA". It matches the Rfam family "Bacterial small subunit ribosomal RNA", at positions 523 to 918 of the family's 1533-position model. The record is from RNAcentral.